Molecule: ribosomal RNA, 259 nt
Filed under: uncultured bacterium
Lineage: Bacteria
Description: partial 16S ribosomal RNA
Rfam family: Bacterial small subunit ribosomal RNA
Source: RNAcentral
GUCCACGCUGUAACGAUGAGUGCUAGGCGUCGGCAAGCUUGCUUGUCGGUGCCGCAGCUAACGCGUGAAGCACUCCGCCUGUGGAGUACGGUCGCAAGAUUAAACUCAAAGGAAUUGACGGGGCCCGCACAAGCGGUGGAGCAUGUGGUUUAAUUCGACGCAACGCGCAGAACCUUACCAGCCCUUGACAUCCCGUGACCGGCUCAGAGAUGGGUUUUCCCAGCAAUGGGCACGGAGACAGGUGCUGCAUGGCUGUCGU